GACGAACGCUGGCGGCGUGCCUAAUACAUGCAAGUCGAACGCUUCCUACCGGUGCUUGCACCGGGAAAGAAGAGUGGCGGACGGGUGAGUAACACGUGGGUAACCUACCUACAAGCGGGGGAUAACAUUCGGAAACGGAUGCUAAUACCGCAUAGAUCUUUUUGUCUCCUGGCAGAAAGAAGAAAGACGGUUUCGGCUGUCACUUGUAGAUGGACCCGCGGCGCAUUAGUUAGUUGGUGAGGUAAUGGCUAACCAAGACGAUGAUGCGGAGCCGACCUGGGAGGGAGAUCGGCCACGCGGGGACUGAGACACGGACCAGACUCCUACGGGAGGCAGCAGUAGGGAGUCUUCCGCAAUGGACGAAAGUCUGACGGAGCAACGCCGCGUGAGUGAAGAAGGUUUUCGGAUCGUAAAACUCUGUUGUUAGAGAAGAACAAGGAUGAGAGUAACUGCUCGUCCCUUGACGGUAUCUAACCAGAAAGCCAUGGCUAACUACGUGCCAGCAGCCGCGGUAA
Molecule: ribosomal RNA, 515 nt
Filed under: uncultured bacterium
Lineage: Bacteria
Description: partial 16S ribosomal RNA
Rfam family: Bacterial small subunit ribosomal RNA
Source: RNAcentral